RNAcentral lists this long non-coding RNA (663 nucleotides) under Homo sapiens (human). RNAcentral describes it as "TMEM44 antisense RNA 1". Lineage: Eukaryota; Metazoa; Chordata; Mammalia; Primates; Hominidae. The record is from RNAcentral.
GGCAGCCGAUGGAAAAUUCAGACGGAUUUGGGACAGUAUGCAGAGUUCUCCAAGCGACAGAUUAACAGAGGCUCUUGAAGAAUAACUGCGUAAUCACGUGUUCUGCUCAAAAGAAGGCCUGAAUGCCCAGUGCCUUAUUUGGCUUUCAGGGGUCUUGCGGUGUCACCCAGGCUAGAGUACAGUGGUGCAAUCAUAGCUCACUGCUGCCUCAAACUCCUAGACUCAAGCAAUCCUCCUGCUUCAGCCUCCCGAGUAGCUGGGACUACAGUUUCCCCAUGUGUAUGCUGUGGUAUUGGAUCAGCAACGAGAUAAGAAGAUCUCUCCCAUUUCCAAGCGUCUAUGAUGAUUCUGAGGCACAAGGUCACAUUUGACAGUACUAGGAAACCCAGGAAACAAGAAGCAAAGAUGACAAAGGCUGUGUCUGCCUGGGCAGACGAUCUAUUUGGACAAGAUAAUAGACCCAGGCAUGGACAUGCUCUCCAAGAAAGAUGCCCUGACAGCUGCUCACACUGAAGCUGAAUCGAACAUUCCAAUCCUUAGAGGUUCCAGCGAAGAUCUUGAAGUCUCCCUGAGCCAUUGACACAAUGGCCAUGCCAUCCCAGUGAUAAAACACAAAUUGUGGCCUUGUUUUGGACAGAAAUAAAGAGCCCAGUUUGUUAGUGA